This 329-nucleotide ribosomal RNA is filed under the name uncultured eukaryote. RNAcentral's name for it is "SSU rRNA". It matches the Rfam family "Eukaryotic small subunit ribosomal RNA", at positions 592 to 912 of the family's 1831-position model. The record is from RNAcentral.
CAAUAGCGUAUACUAAAGUUGUUGCAGUUAAAAAGCUCGUAGUUGAAUUUCUGGUUGUGAAAGACGGUCCAUUCCUCAAGGAAUGCGUUACUAUUCAUUCAUGGCCAUCCUCGGGGAGAAUGUGUGUUACUUUCAGUAGUCGCGCACAGGAACCCCGUCAUUUACUGUGAGCAAAAUAAGAGUGUUCAAAGCAGGCUUAUGCCGUUGAAUAUAUUAGCAUGGAAUAAUAAGAUAUGACUUUGGUCUAUUUUGUUUGGUUUUGUCUUUCCUAAACGUAAAUGAUUAAUUAGGGAGUAGUUGGGGGUAGUUCGUAUUCAAUUGUCAGAGGU